Molecule: RNA transcript, 3108 nt
Organism: Mus musculus (house mouse)
Lineage: Eukaryota; Metazoa; Chordata; Mammalia; Rodentia; Muridae
Gene: Cdc5l
Gene name: cell division cycle 5-like
Exons: 17
Source: RefSeq, marked provisional
CUGCGCGCGACACGUCGGGCGCCUUGGCACCUGCGGUUUGAUUAGUCUCCAUCAGUCUUAAGGUUGCAGCCUGGCCGCCCGCGUCUUUUGCCUUCGGCCGCUAAGAUCUCGCGAGAUUUCCCGGGGCUGCCCACGCCGCGCCUGCGCAGAGCUCUUCAAAGCAGAAGGUCGCUCUUGGGAGGAAGUGGCCUUUUGCGUCCCGUGCCCGGAGCGCCGUUACUACUUUCUCGAAGCUCUCCUCGGCUCCCUUGCCGGGACACUCUGCCGCUAAGAUGCCCCGGAUUAUGAUCAAAGGGGGAGUGUGGAGGAACACGGAGGAUGAAAUUCUGAAAGCAGCGGUAAUGAAAUAUGGGAAAAACCAGUGGUCUAGGAUUGCCUCAUUGCUGCAUAGGAAAUCGGCAAAGCAGUGCAAAGCCAGAUGGUACGAAUGGCUGGAUCCAAGUAUUAAAAAAACUGAAUGGUCCAGAGAAGAGGAAGAAAAACUCUUGCACCUGGCCAAGCUGAUGCCAACGCAGUGGAGGACCAUUGCUCCGAUCAUAGGAAGAACAGCAGCCCAGUGCUUGGAACACUAUGAGUUCCUCCUGGACAAAACUGCCCAAAGGGACAAUGAAGAAGAAACAACAGAUGACCCCCGAAAGCUUAAGCCUGGAGAGAUAGAUCCAAACCCAGAGACCAAGCCAGCCCGGCCUGACCCGAUAGACAUGGAUGAGGAUGAACUUGAGAUGCUCUCCGAGGCUCGAGCCCGUCUGGCCAAUACUCAAGGAAAGAAGGCUAAAAGGAAAGCAAGAGAAAAGCAGUUGGAAGAAGCCAGGCGCCUUGCUGCCCUCCAGAAAAGACGAGAGCUUCGAGCAGCUGGCAUAGAGAUUCAGAAGAAAAGGAAAAAGAAGAGAGGCGUUGAUUAUAAUGCUGAAAUCCCAUUUGAAAAAAAGCCUGCUCUUGGUUUUUAUGAUACUUCUGAGGAGAAUUACCAGGCCCUUGAUGCAGAUUUCAGGAAACUGCGGCAGCAGGAUCUUGAUGGAGAGCUAAGAUCUGAAAAAGAAGGAAGAGAUAGGAAAAAAGACAAACAGCAUUUAAAAAGGAAAAAGGAGUCUGAUUUACCAUCAGCUAUCCUCCAAACCAGUGGUGUCUCUGAGUUCACUAAAAAGAGAAGCAAACUUGUGUUGCCUGCGCCUCAGAUUUCAGAUGCUGAACUCCAGGAAGUUGUCAAGGUAGGCCAGGCCAGUGAAGUCGCACGGCAGACGGCGGAGGAGUCAGGAAUAACAAACUCUGCUUCUAGCACUCUCCUGUCUGAGUACAAUGUCACAAACAACAGCAUCGCUCUGAGAACACCACGGACACCAGCCUCUCAAGACAGGAUUCUACAGGAAGCUCAGAACCUCAUGGCCUUGACCAAUGUGGACACUCCAUUGAAAGGUGGGCUUAAUACCCCACUGCAUGAGAGUGACUUCUCUGGUGUGACCCCACAGCGGCAAGUUGUGCAGACUCCAAAUACAGUUCUGUCUACCCCUUUCAGAUUGUAAGCUCCUUGGGGGCAGGGACCAUGUCUUAAAUGAUAACACCGCACCUGUUGGGAACAGAUGUCUGGCAGUACCAUCAGUCUGGAACACAGCCAAGAUACAGGAAGACUCCUUCUAAUGGAGCUGAAGGGCUGACUCCCCGAAGUGGAACAACUCCUAAACCAGUCACUAAUGCCACCCCAGGUAGAACACCACUUAGAGACAAGUUAAACAUUAAUCCAGAGGAUGGAAUGGCAGACUACAGUGACCCCUCUUACGUGAAGCAGAUGGAAAGAGAAUCUCGUGAACAUCUCCGUUUAGGGUUGUUAGGCCUCCCCGCACCUAAGAAUGAUUUUGAAAUUGUUCUGCCUGAAAAUGCCGAGAAGGAACUAGAAGAACGUGAAAUAGAUGAUACCUACAUUGAAGAUGCUGCUGAUGUGGAUGCUCGAAAGCAGGCCAUCCGAGAUGCUGAGCGUGUAAAGGAAAUGAAACGAAUGCAUAAAGCUGUUCAGAAGGAUCUGCCCAGGCCGUCUGAAGUAAAUGAAACUAUUUUAAGACCUUUAAAUGUAGAACCACCUCUAACAGAUUUACAGAAGAGUGAAGAACUGAUCAAAAAAGAAAUGAUUACGAUGCUUCAUUAUGAUCUUCUACAUCAUCCCUACGAACCAUCUGGAAAUAAAAAAGGAAAAAAUGUUGGGUUUGCUACCAACAAUUCAGAGCACAUUACCUAUCUUGAGCACAGCCCUUAUGAGAAGUUCUCCAAAGAAGAUCUGAAAAAGGCCCAGGAUGCUCUGGUACAAGAGAUGGAAGUGGUCAAACAAGGAAUGAGCCAUGGCGAACUCUCCAGUGAAGCUUACAACCAGGUGUGGGAGGAAUGCUACAGUCAAGUCCUCUAUCUUCCUGCUCAGAGCCGCUACACUCGUGCUAAUCUUGCUAGCAAAAAGGACAGAAUUGAAUCACUUGAAAAGAGACUUGAGAUAAACAGGGGUCACAUGACAACAGAAGCCAAGAGAGCUGCAAAGAUGGAAAAGAAGAUGAAGAUUUUGCUUGGUGGUUACCAGUCUCGUGCUAUGGGGCUCAUGAAGCAGUUGAAUGACUUAUGGGACCAGAUUGAGCAGGCUCACUUGGAGCUACGCACUUUUGAAGAACUCAAGAAACAUGAAGACUCUGCUAUUCCCCGUAGGCUAGAGUGUCUAAAAGAAGAUGUGCAGCGGCAACAGGAACGAGAGAAAGAGCUUCAGCAGAGAUACGCGGAUUUGCUGAUGGAGAAAGAGACUUUACAGGCAAAGUUCUGAAGCACAGUGGAUGCUCUGCCACAGGAGAUCGAGUUGCUGGUUUCCUACUCAGCAAGGCUGAACUGAGCUUCCUCUUCAUUGACAAGUUACCCAGCACCGUGGUUUCUCAGUUGUUUGUUUUGAAUGAUACUGAUCUUUGCGUUCCGUGUUACAGACUUGGACUCCAGGAUAAUGAGGGUUUAAAUUAUCCAGAUGCUCAUUCUUUGCCAGUGUCAUAUUUACAAAAUUUCGUAGUUUAGGCCUUUAAUUUAAAAAGCCUGACUUUAAAUACUGCCUGUGAGUAAACCCUUGAAUAAAAAGAACAUGUGAAAAAUUGA